RNAcentral lists this transfer RNA (72 nucleotides) under Cronartium ribicola 11-2. Its description in RNAcentral is "tRNA-Und (NNN) (tRNA-Und-NNN-143-1, tRNA-Und-NNN-143-2)". It matches the Rfam family "tRNA". From Rfam's summary of the family: Transfer RNA (tRNA) molecules are approximately 80 nucleotides in length. Their secondary structure includes four short double-helical elements and three loops (D, anti-codon, and T loops). Lineage: Eukaryota; Fungi; Basidiomycota; Pucciniomycetes; Pucciniales; Coleosporiaceae. The record is from RNAcentral.
GUGUGUGUAGCUCAGCAGUCAGAGCAUCCCUCCGGAUUGAAGCCAUCAUGGGUUUGAAUCCCAUUGCACACA